Molecule: ribosomal RNA, 528 nt
Filed under: Sporobolomyces carnicolor
Lineage: Eukaryota; Fungi; Basidiomycota; Microbotryomycetes; Sporidiobolales; Sporidiobolaceae
Description: eukaryotic LSU rRNA
Rfam family: Eukaryotic large subunit ribosomal RNA
Source: RNAcentral
CGAAGCGGGAAAAGCUCAAACUUGUAAUCUGGCGCCUUCGGCGUCCGAGUUGUAAUCUCGAGAAGUGUUUUCCGUGAUAGACCGCAUACAAGUCUCUUGGAACAGAGCGUCAUAGUGGUGAGAACCCAGUACACGAUGCGGAUGCCUAUUACUUUGUGAUACACUUUCGAAGAGUCGAGUUGUUUGGGAAUGCAGCUCAAAUUGGGUGGUAAAUUCCAUCUAAAGCUAAAUAUUGGCGAGAGACCGAUAGCGAACAAGUACCGUGAGGGAAAGAUGAAAAGCACUUUGGAAAGAGAGUUAACAGUACGUGAAAUUGUUGGAAGGGAAACACAUGCAGUGAUACUUGCUAUUCGGGGCAACUCGAUUGGCAGGCCCGCAUCAGUUUUUCGGGGCGGAAAAUCAUAGAGAGAAGGUAGCAGUCUCGGCUGUGUUAUAGCUCUUUAUUGGAUUCGCCCUGGGGGACUGAGGAACGCAGCGUGCUUUUUGCAUGAGCUUCGGCUUAUCCGGGAUUAGAGGCGGUUUAUGGCA